This 454-nucleotide ribosomal RNA is filed under the name uncultured Cytophaga sp. RNAcentral's name for it is "partial 16S ribosomal RNA". It matches the Rfam family "Bacterial small subunit ribosomal RNA", at positions 341 to 792 of the family's 1533-position model. Lineage: Bacteria; Pseudomonadati; Bacteroidota; Cytophagia; Cytophagales; Cytophagaceae. The record is from RNAcentral.
ACGGAAGGCAGCAGUGAGGAAUAUUGGUCAAUGGACGGAAGUCUGAACCAGCCAAGUCGCGUGCGGGAUGAAGGCCCUACGGGUCGUAAACCGCUUUUGUACGGGGAUAAAGUCACCCACGUGUGGGUGUUUGUAGGUACCGUAAGAAUAAGGAUCGGCUAACUCCGUGCCAGCAGCCGCGGUAAUACGGAGGAUCCGAGCGUUAUCCGGAUUUAUUGGGUUUAAAGGGUGCGCAGGCGGCACGUUAAGUCAGCGGUGAAAUGCAGGGGCUCAACCCCGGCACUGCCGUUGAAACUGGCGAGCUCGAGUACGGAUGAAGUCGGCGGAAUGUGAUGUGUAGCGGUGAAAUGCUUAGAUAUGUCACAGAACACCGAUUGCGAAGGCAGCUGACUAAUCCGCAACUGACGCUCAGGCACGAAAGCGUGGGGAUCGAACAGGAUUAGAUACCCUGGUA